UUGGAGGGCAAGUCUGGUGCCAGCAGCCGCGGUAAUUCCAGCUCCAAUAGCGUAUAUUAAAGUUGUUGCAGUUAAAAAGCUCGUAGUUGAAUUUCGAGAUCAGUACGCUGGUCGUGCCUUUGGUAUGCACUGGUGUCACUGGUUUCUCCCUUCUGAAGAACUGUCAUGCCAUUCAGUUGGUGUGGCGGGGAAUCAGGACUGUUACUUUGAAAAAAUUAGAGUGUUUAAAGCAGGC
This 235-nucleotide ribosomal RNA is filed under the name uncultured fungus. Its description in RNAcentral is "partial 18S ribosomal RNA". It matches the Rfam family "Eukaryotic small subunit ribosomal RNA", at positions 548 to 785 of the family's 1831-position model. The record is from RNAcentral. Lineage: Eukaryota; Fungi.